AUGGGCCUCCUUUGCCAAGGAUUAGUUUCUCUUUUUUGUUUUUUUUAGAAAUUCUGAAUGUGUUGAAAAGGCUUUAGAGGGAUUUAAAAUAUAGGAAAUAACAAGGUCUGACUUAAAUUUACAAAAGAUCUCUCUAGCAGCUGAUGGGCGACAGUCUAUAGGGAGCAAGAGCAGAAGAUCUAUUCUCCUCAGGGCAGACAAUAGGCACCUUUCAAGGACGAGGCAAGUAAGGCCCAGAGAGCUGACAAGAUCUGUCCUAGCUCACUCCAUUUUGUACUUUUGGUUCCCAGACCAGUGGCCCUUUGUGGCUACACAUUCUCUAACUGAGGCACAACUGACCAGGCUCCAGGUGAAGCUUCUCGGCCUGCAUUACAGGUCCUGUUGUGCCCAACUCAUGAUUUAUCCAGGUCACACCAGUCUGGUCUGUCACAGUAAGAGGGCACCAUCACAUACACUAUAAUAUGAAUCAUGACCCCCGGAGUUGUGUGGAGUUUCUGCAUCUCUCCCUCCCCACUGUGGCUACCCUCAUCCAGCAACCAUCCUGUCUCUCACCGGUAUUACCGCAGCUGAGACCCAGGUCUUAAGGAAGCUGAGACCCAGGCCAGCAGGGGCCUCACAGGUAGAAUGAAGCUUGGAAAAAGAGGAGGGUGUAAGACUCUGGAUGAAGCUGAGAGAUCCUUCCAUGCUUGGCUGAGAGACUACACAGACAUGAGCUUCAGGAGACUCCAAAGCCUCGGAUCCCCUUCUAAACUAGCACUGAAUUCUGAUUGGCUGUCUUUGCCUGCCUCAGUUUGUUCCUUUUACUGAUUGGCUAGGUUCUUCUGCCCAUGGCAGAGCCCUGCUCCAGCCACCGGAUCCUCCCACCUGCCACAGUGUCACCUGGGAUUGGCUGGGCUCUGAAAGGCCAGGCUGGCUUGACUCUUGCCAUCAUCAGAUUCUUCCUCAUUAAACAAAUGAAUCACAAUCCUAAUUAAUUUGAGCAACAGAAUUUAUGUAACUACUCCCAGCAGGAUGUCUGCUCUCAGUCAGCAGAGAGAUUACUUCCUCUCUCUGGGAAAUUCCAGCCUUGCUGGUCAAUAAGCCUUAAUGAUGACUGAAAUCUCCCAUCUGUCUCUGCUCAGGGCAGGUAACCCCUACUAAGCAGACACCCAGUUGGCUCGAGGCAGUACCCCGGGCACCGGCAGGACAAGGACAACGAUCUCCCAGCCUAGAUGUGUCCUGAGCCACAUGGAGCACACAGUAGGUGUUUACUUAAGGACAGGGGCUGCCCCUUCCAGGGAAGUUCUGAACCACUUAAAACCCACAGGAAGUGUUCAAUGUCUACUUAUGGAAUAAAUGAAAGGGAGGAUGUGUCACUCAGAUACUUAUAAAAUGGUCUCAAGAUCCUAAACUCCAAGCAAGCUUCUCCAGCUCUUUCCAGCCUUUGCUCCCCCUAUUUCCCAUGACCAUAACCCAAUUCUGUCUUUUUCCUAUUUUGAACUUUCCAGACUCAGAAAUUUGGCUCUUCAUGUUCCCUGCCCUUGAACCGUCCCAGCCCUCUCUCCAAAACAGGCUUCAUGCUGGCUGCAUGGGAGGGAGGGGUAGCAAAGUGGAAAGUGUUACAGAAUUAGUGCUAAUUCUGGCUUUGUCACUUACUCAUUGUACUUCACCUCUCUGUUCUUAACUUUUCUCUCAUACAUAAACCACACGGGGUUCUUGGGAAGAUUAAAUAAGAAAACAUGGUGAAAAUGUAUUGCACAGUACUUGACUCAUUUAAUUGGUGACAGACAGUGUUUUAGGUAAUGGAGAUACAGUGGUGCUCAAGGCAGGCAAGAUUCCUGCUCCCAAAGAAUUUAAUUUCCAGGAGACAAGAAGCAAGCUAGCAAAUGUAUAAGAUAAUAGUUAGGGAACAGUACUCAGCAAAAAUAAAAAAUGUAUGGAGAGGGACUGAGGGGAGUGAGGAACUCUUUGAGGAGGUGCCACUCUGAGACCCAAAUGACAAGAAGGAAUUAACCACAUGACAUUCUAGAAAGAGGGAAAAGAGUUGCUGUUAAGAAGAUGUGGGUGUGUUAAAAAAAAAUUGCAAAGUCCCUUAGGUACGAUUGAGCUGCUAAUGAUCAAUCUGAGGCUUCUGCUCUGUGUCUUAUAGGUAAACGGGGUAAGGUUUGGUAGGACUGAAAAAUUCAUCCAGCCACCUAUCUAGGGGGUGUGAGGGUCAAGAUGUGGACCCAGGUCUUCUGCCCUUAAGAGCAGAGUGCUUGUCACUACAGCACAAAGAAGGUGCAAGAGAAAGGAAAAGUGAGUGGGAGGCGGUGAGGGAGGAACAGACUGCCUUGUCCUCCACCAGAUCUAAAUCUGUCUCCUCCUGAUGGUUGGCAGGAUUACAGGAUCUGACUCCCAUUUGGGCCUUCCACCUCCGCUGGCCUAAGCAGUCAAGUGUCAGAGAGCACUGGACCUAACAGCUCCCUCACCAGAGCAGCUGUGAUUCCUUCUUCAUUUCCAGCAGGGAAGACCCAACAACUUUUAUAAUAUGGGAUUUCUUUUAUUCUCAUGAUAAUAAUGUUCAUUGUGGAAAAUAAAAAAAAAUGAUAAAAUAAAAAUCAGCCAGAAUUCCAACUUCUGGAGAUUUUGGUGUCUUUCUGCAAAGUUCCUAUGCACAUAGAUACUUUAUAAAAUUAUGAACAUACUGUACAUACAGUUUUGGAAUAUGCCUUUUUCCUUCUGUCAUGAAAAAGUCUUCAAAUGCCUUUUAACAGCUACACAAUAGUUCACUACAUGAACCAACUCAAAUGUAACUAUUUUUGGCCUUUUGUUAUAAAUAACACAAGAACCCUCAGUCUUUGUUACAUAAUGUCCUAACAGAGUAGGGGAAAUGCUCCCCAAUCCGGUGCAAUGUCCUGUGCCCAGGGAAACCAAUU
Molecule: long non-coding RNA, 2897 nt
Filed under: Homo sapiens (human)
Lineage: Eukaryota; Metazoa; Chordata; Mammalia; Primates; Hominidae
Description: HSALNT0174854
Source: RNAcentral